This 132-nucleotide ribosomal RNA is filed under the name uncultured bacterium yo1. RNAcentral's name for it is "partial 23S ribosomal RNA". It matches the Rfam family "Bacterial large subunit ribosomal RNA", at positions 1 to 131 of the family's 2925-position model. The record is from RNAcentral.
GAGAUCAAACGCAAUAAGGCACACGGUGGAUGCCUUGCACCAAGAGGCGAUGAAGGGCGCGAUAAGCUGCGAUAAGCUUGGGGGAGUCGCACAUAGGCCGUGAUCCCAAGAUGCCCGAAUGGGGAAACCCGG